This 24-nucleotide non-coding RNA is filed under the name Arabidopsis thaliana (thale cress). The record is from RNAcentral. Lineage: Eukaryota; Viridiplantae; Streptophyta; Magnoliopsida; Brassicales; Brassicaceae.
ACUCUACAGUUAAGCAUGCUUGAG